GAUGAACGCUGGCGGCGUGCCUAAUACAUGCAAGUCGAGCGAACGGACGAGAAGCUUGCUUCUCUGAUGUUAGCGGCGGACGGGUGAGUAACACGUGGAUAACCUACCUAUAAGACUGGGAUAACUUCGGGAAACCGGAGCUAAUACCGGAUGAUAUUUUGAACCGCAUGGUUCAAAAGUGAAAGACGGUCUUGCUGUCACUUAUAGAUGGAUCCGCGCUGCAUUAGCUAGUUGGUAAGGUAACGGCUUACCAAGGCAACGAUGCAUAGCCGACCUGAGAGGGUGAUCGGCCACACUGGAACUGAGACACGGUCCAGACUCCUACGGGAGGCAGCAGUAGGGAAUCUUCCGCAAUGGGCGAAAGCCUGACGGAGCAACGCCGCGUGAGUGAUGAAGGUCUUCGGAUCGUAAAACUCUGUUAUUAGGGAAGAACAUAUGUGUAAGUAACUGUGCACAUCUUGACGGUACCUAAUCAGAAAGCCACGGCUAACUACGUGCCAGCAGCCGCGGUAAUACGUAGGUGGCAAGCGUUAUCCGGAAUUAUUGGGCGUAAAGCGCGCGUAGGCGGUUUUUUAAGUCUGAUGUGAAAGCCCACGGCUCAACCGUGGAGGGUCAUUGGAAACUGGAAAACUUGAGUGCAGAAGAGGAAAGUGGAAUUCCAUGUGUAGCGGUGAAAUGCGCAGAGAUAUGGAGGAACACCAGUGGCGAAGGCGACUCCCUGGUCUGUAACUGACGCUGAUGUGCGAAAGCGUGGGGAUCAAACAGGAUUAGAUACCCUGGUAGUCCACGCCGUAAACGAUGAGUGCUAAGUGUUAGGGGGUUUCCGCCCCUUAGUGCUGCAGCUAACGCAUUAAGCACUCCGCCUGGGGAGUACGACCGCAAGGUUGAAACUCAAAGGAAUUGACGGGGACCCGCACAAGCGGUGGAGCAUGUGGUUUAAUUCGAAGCAACGCGAAGAACCUUACCAAAUCUUGACAUCCUUUGACAACUCUAGAGAUAGAGCCUUCCCCUUCGGGGGACAAAGUGACAGGUGGUGCAUGGUUGUCGUCAGCUCGUGUCGUGAGAUGUUGGGUUAAGUCCCGCAACGAGCGCAACCCUUAAGCUUAGUUGCCAUCAUUAAGUUGGGCACUCUAAGUUGACUGCCGGUGACAAACCGGAGGAAGGUGGAGAUGACGUCAAAUCAUCAUGCCCCUUAUGAUUUGGGCUACACACGUGCUACAAUGGACAAUACAAAGGGCAGCGAAACCGCGAGGUCAAGCAAAUCCCAUAAAGUUGUUCUCAGUUCGGAUUGUAGUCUGCAACUCGACUACAUGAAGCUGGAAUCGCUAGUAAUCGUAGAUCAGCAUGCUACGGUGAAUACGUUCCCGGGUCU
This 1372-nucleotide ribosomal RNA is filed under the name uncultured bacterium. RNAcentral describes it as "bacterial SSU rRNA". It matches the Rfam family "Bacterial small subunit ribosomal RNA", at positions 28 to 1381 of the family's 1533-position model. The record is from RNAcentral.